AGAGUUUGAUCCUGGCUCAGAACGAACGCUGGCGGCAUGCCUAACACAUGCAAGUCGAACGAAGCCUUCGGGCUUAGUGGCGCACGAGUGCGUAACGCGUGGGAAUCUGCCCCUCGGUUCGGAAUAACAGUUAGAAAUGACUGCUAAUACCGGAUGAUGACGAAAGUCCAAAGAUUUAUCGCCGAGGGAUGAGCCCGCGUAGGAUUAGCUUGUUGGUGGGGUAAUGGCCCACCAAGGCGACGAUCCUUAGCUGGUCUGAGAGGAUGAUCAGCCACACUGGGACUGAGACACGGCCCAGACUCCUACGGGAGGCAGCAGUGGGGAAUAUUGGACAAUGGGCGAAAGCCUGAUCCAGCAAUGCCGCGUGAGUGAUGAGGGCCUUAGGGUUGUAAAGCUCUUUACCAGGGAUGAUAAUGACAGUACCUGGAGAAUAAGCUCCGGCUAACUCCGUG
RNAcentral lists this ribosomal RNA (452 nucleotides) under uncultured bacterium. RNAcentral's name for it is "bacterial SSU rRNA". It matches the Rfam family "Bacterial small subunit ribosomal RNA", at positions 8 to 507 of the family's 1533-position model. The record is from RNAcentral.